Molecule: unclassified non-coding RNA, 255 nt
Filed under: uncultured fungus
Lineage: Eukaryota; Fungi
Description: partial contains 5.8S ribosomal RNA, internal transcribed spacer 2, and large subunit ribosomal RNA
Source: RNAcentral
AACGCACAUUGCGCCCCCUGGCAAUCCGGGGGGCAUGCCCGUUCGAGCGUCAUUAUACCCCCUCAAGCCCCGCUUGGUGUUGGGCGCCCGGGGACCUCCCCGCGCCCCAAAUUUGAUGGCCGGUCGCCGUCGCCCCUGCCGCGUUGUGGCCUCAUGUGCUCGCGGCGGAGCGGACGGCGGGUCGCGCUGUUAAAACGCGCCCUCUGGGCUUUCCAGGUUGACCUCGGAUCGGGCAGGGAUACCCGCUGAACUUAA